GGAAAUUUAGCUCAAAUUGGACUGAGAAAUCACUAUUUUGUGAUUAAUGAUGGGUUCAAAUCCCAUAAUUUCCA
RNAcentral lists this transfer RNA (74 nucleotides) under Blautia massiliensis (ex Durand et al. 2017). Its description in RNAcentral is "tRNA-Thr". It matches the Rfam family "tRNA". Rfam says of the family: Transfer RNA (tRNA) molecules are approximately 80 nucleotides in length. The record is from RNAcentral. Lineage: Bacteria; Bacillati; Bacillota; Clostridia; Lachnospirales; Lachnospiraceae.